GGUUAAGCGACUAAGCGUACACGGUGGAUGCCCUGGCAGUCAGAGGCGAUGAAGGACGUGCUAAUCUGCGAUAAGCGUCGGUAAGGUGAUAUGAACCGUUAUAACCGGCGAUUUCCGAAUGGGGAAACCCAGUGUGUUUCGACACACUAUCAUUAACUGAAUCCAUAGGUUAAUGAGGCGAACCGGGGGAACUGAAACAUCUAAGUACCCCGAGGAAAAGAAAUCAACCGAGAUUCCCCCAGUAGCGGCGAGCGAACGGGGAGCAGCCCAGAGCCUGAAUCAGUGUGUGUGUUAGUGGAAGCGUCUGGAAAGGCGCGCGAUACAGGGUGACAGCCCCGUACACAAAAAUGCACAUGCUGUGAGCUCGAUGAGUAGGGCGGGACACGUGGUAUCCUGUCUGAAUAUGGGGGGACCAUCCUCCAAGGCUAAAUACUCCUGACUGACCGAUAGUGAACCAGUACCGUGAGGGAAAGGCGAAAAGAACCCCGGCGAGGGGAGUGAAAAAGAACCUGAAACCGUGUACGUACAAGCAGUGGGAGCCUCUUUAUGGGGUGACUGCGUACCUUUUGUAUAAUGGGUCAGCGACUUAUAUUCUGUAGCAAGGUUAACCGAAUAGGGGAGCCGAAGGGAAACCGAGUCUUAACUGGGCGUUAAGUUGCAGGGUAUAGACCCGAAACCCGGUGAUCUAGCCAUGGGCAGGUUGAAGGUUGGGUAACACUAACUGGAGGACCGAACCGACUAAUGUUGAAAAAUUAGCGGAUGACUUGUGGCUGGGGGUGAAAGGCCAAUCAAACCGGGAGAUAGCUGGUUCUCCCCGAAAGCUAUUUAGGUAGCGCCUCGUGAAUUCAUCUCCGGGGGUAGAGCACUGUUUCGGCAAGGGGGUCAUCCCGACUUACCAACCCGAUGCAAACUGCGAAUACCGGAGAAUGUUAUCACGGGAGACACACGGCGGGUGCUAACGUCCGUCGUGAAGAGGGAAACAACCCAGACCGCCAGCUAAGGUCCCAAAGUCAUGGUUAAGUGGGAAACGAUGUGGGAAGGCCCAGACAGCCAGGAUGUUGGCUUAGAAGCAGCCAUCAUUUAAAGAAAGCGUAAUAGCUCACUGGUCGAGUCGGCCUGCGCGGAAGAUGUAACGGGGCUAAACCAUGCACCGAAGCUGCGGCAGCGACGCUUAUGCGUUGUUGGGUAGGGGAGCGUUCUGUAAGCCUGUGAAGGUGUGCUGUGAGGCAUGCUGGAGGUAUCAGAAGUGCGAAUGCUGACAUAAGUAACGAUAAAGCGGGUGAAAAGCCCGCUCGCCGGAAGACCAAGGGUUCCUGUCCAACGUUAAUCGGGGCAGGGUGAGUCGACCCCUAAGGCGAGGCCGAAAGGCGUAGUCGAUGGGAAACAGGUUAAUAUUCCUGUACUUGGUGUUACUGCGAAGGGGGGACGGAGAAGGCUAUGUUGGCCGGGCGACGGUUGUCCCGGUUUAAGCGUGUAGGCUGAUUUUCCAGGCAAAUCCGGAAAAUCAAGGCUGAGGCGUGAUGACGAGGCACUACGGUGCUGAAGCAACAAAUGCCCUGCUUCCAGGAAAAGCCUCUAAGCAUCAGGUAACAUCAAAUCGUACCCCAAACCGACACAGGUGGUCAGGUAGAGAAUACCAAGGCGCUUGAGAGAACUCGGGUGAAGGAACUAGGCAAAAUGGUGCCGUAACUUCGGGAGAAGGCACGCUGAUAUGUAGGUGAAGUCCCUCGCGGAUGGAGCUGAAAUCAGUCGAAGAUACCAGCUGGCUGCAACUGUUUAUUAAAAACACAGCACUGUGCAAACACGAAAGUGGACGUAUACGGUGUGACGCCUGCCCGGUGCCGGAAGGUUAAUUGAUGGGGUCAGCGCAAGCGAAGCUCUUGAUCGAAGCCCCGGUAAACGGCGGCCGUAACUAUAACGGUCCUAAGGUAGCGAAAUUCCUUGUCGGGUAAGUUCCGACCUGCACGAAUGGCGUAAUGAUGGCCAGGCUGUCUCCACCCGAGACUCAGUGAAAUUGAACUCGCUGUGAAGAUGCAGUGUACCCGCGGCAAGACGGAAAGACCCCGUGAACCUUUACUAUAGCUUGACACUGAACAUUGAGCCUUGAUGUGUAGGAUAGGUGGGAGGCUUAGAAGUGUGGACGCCAGUCUGCAUGGAGCCGGCCUUGAAAUACCACCCUUUAAUGUUUGAUGUUCUAACGUGGACCCGUAAUCCGGGUUGCGGACAGUGUCUGGUGGGUAGUUUGACUGGGGCGGUCUCCUCCUAAAGAGUAACGGAGGAGCACGAAGGUUGGCUAAUCCUGGUCGGACAUCAGGAGGUUAGUGCAAUGGCAUAAGCCAGCUUGACUGCGAGCGUGACGGCGCGAGCAGGUGCGAAAGCAGGUCAUAGUGAUCCGGUGGUUCUGAAUGGAAGGGCCAUCGCUCAACGGAUAAAAGGUACUCCGGGGAUAACAGGCUGAUACCGCCCAAGAGUUCAUAUCGACGGCGGUGUUUGGCACCUCGAUGUCGGCUCAUCACAUCCUGGGGCUGAAGUAGGUCCCAAGGGUAUGGCUGUUCGCCAUUUAAAGUGGUACGCGAGCUGGGUUUAGAACGUCGUGAGACAGUUCGGUCCCUAUCUGCCGUGGGCGCUGGAGAACUGAGGGGGGCUGCUCCUAGUACGAGAGGACCGGAGUGGACGCAUCACUGGUGUUCGGGUUGUCAUGCCAAUGGCACUGCCCGGUAGCUAAAUGCGGAAGAGAUAAGUGCUGAAAGCAUCUAAGCACGAAACUUGCCCCGAGAUGAGUUCUCCCUGACUCCUUGAGAGUCCUGAAGGAACGUUGAAGACGACGACGUUGAUAGGCCGGGUGUGUAAGCGCAGCGAUGCGUUGAGCUAACCGGUACUAAUGAACCGUGAGGCUUAACCUUACAACGCCGAAG
This 2915-nucleotide ribosomal RNA is filed under the name Shigella boydii. Its description in RNAcentral is "23S ribosomal RNA". It matches the Rfam family "Bacterial large subunit ribosomal RNA". The record is from RNAcentral. Lineage: Bacteria; Pseudomonadati; Pseudomonadota; Gammaproteobacteria; Enterobacterales; Enterobacteriaceae.